This 392-nucleotide unclassified non-coding RNA is filed under the name Hevea brasiliensis (rubber tree). Lineage: Eukaryota; Viridiplantae; Streptophyta; Magnoliopsida; Malpighiales; Euphorbiaceae. The record is from RNAcentral.
GAGAAGCAAACUGGUAGUUUGUACUCUGAUUGGGACCUUCUUCCACCAAAGACAAUCAAGGAUCCAGAUGCCAAGAAACCUGAAGAUUGGGAUGACAAUGAGUAUAUUCCGGACCCUGAGGAUAAGAAACCAGAGGGUUAUGAUGACAUUCCAAAGGAGAUUCCAGAUCCUGAUGCAAAGAAGCCUGAGGAUUGGGAUGAUGAGGAGGAUGGUGAAUGGACUCCCCCAACCAUUGCCAACCCUGAAUAUAAGGGUCCAUGGAAGCCCAAGAAAAUUAAGAACCCCAAUUACAAGGGCAAGUGGAAGGCACCAAAGAUUGACAACCCUGAUUUCAAGGAUGAUCCAGAUCUCUAUGUAUACCCUAACUUGAAGUAUGUUGGUAUUGAAUUGUG